GACGAACGCUGGCGGCGUGCUUAACACAUGCAAGUCGAACGGAAAGGCCCUGCUUUUGUGGGGUGCUCGAGUGGCGAACGGGUGAGUAACACGUGAGUAACCUGCCCUUGACUUUGGGAUAACUUCAGGAAACUGGGGCUAAUACCGGAUAGGAGCUCCUGCUGCAUGGUGGGGGUUGGAAAGUUUCGGCGGUUGGGGAUGGACUCGCGGCUUAUCAGCUUGUUGGUGGGGUAGUGGCUUACCAAGGCUUUGACGGGUAGCCGGCCUGAGAGGGUGACCGGCCACAUUGGUACUGAGAGACGGCCCAGACGCCUACGGGAGGCAGCAGUGGGGAAUAUUGCACAAUGGGCGGGAGCCUGAUGCAGCAACGCCGCGUGCGGGAUGACGGCCUUCGGGUUGUAAACCGCUUUCGCCUGUGACGAAGCGUGAGUGACGGUAAUGGGUAAAGAAGCACCGGCUAACUACGUG
Molecule: ribosomal RNA, 468 nt
Filed under: uncultured bacterium
Lineage: Bacteria
Description: partial 16S ribosomal RNA
Rfam family: Bacterial small subunit ribosomal RNA
Source: RNAcentral